RNAcentral lists this transfer RNA (69 nucleotides) under human gut metagenome. It matches the Rfam family "tRNA". Rfam says of the family: Transfer RNA (tRNA) molecules are approximately 80 nucleotides in length. Their secondary structure includes four short double-helical elements and three loops (D, anti-codon, and T loops). Further hydrogen bonds mediate the characteristic L-shaped molecular structure. tRNAs have two regions of fundamental functional importance: the anti-codon, which is responsible for specific mRNA codon recognition, and the 3' end, to which the tRNAs corresponding amino acid is attached (by aminoacyl-tRNA synthetases). tRNAs cope with the degeneracy of the genetic code in two manners: having more than one tRNA (with a specific anti-codon) for a particular amino acid; and 'wobble' base-pairing, i.e. permitting non-standard base-pairing at the 3rd anti-codon position. The record is from RNAcentral. RNAcentral also lists the same sequence under 1 other name.
GGACGUGGCUCAGUUGGUAGAGCAUCACCUUGCCAAGGUGAGGGUCGCGGGUUCGAACCCCGUCGUCCG